Molecule: long non-coding RNA, 620 nt
Organism: Pogoniulus pusillus (Red-fronted tinkerbird)
Lineage: Eukaryota; Metazoa; Chordata; Aves; Piciformes; Lybiidae
Exons: 2
Source: RefSeq, a predicted model, not a curated record
AUUAUUUAAGUGGCACCAGGCAAAGCAGCUCUGCCUCGCCGGGGAGGGUAUGCUCAGCUGGGAGAAGUCCAGAAGAGUGCCAACACAUUCACCCCCACGUUAAAAAAGGGCGGGUUUAGGGGCUGCUGUGGAAAACAAACACUGCGCCCCAGCCUGGGGGCAGCAGUGACCCCGAGCGUGUCCCAGCAAAGCCACGACUGAGCUCUACAACGCGUUUCUUGCGUUAGAGAGCGCACUGCAACUGCAACGCGCUUCCAACUGACCUCCUGGCAGAGGGAUGAGGGUUAGGUUGGUAAGGACACGGAAAUCAAGUGACAGCCCACGGCUGUGGGAGCAGAGCUCACGAUCUUUUGACUCCUGAAGAAAAUCCAUCCCUUUCUGAACGAGGAGAGCCGAAUGCUGGUACAGCAGAAUGAAUUACUGCGGAACAGAGGUGUCAACCCCCGAGAGGCACGGUUUUGUUUGCUCCUCUCUGGAGAGAGAGAAAGCAGCUGGUUACAACCCUGCUUCCAGGAAAGGUGGGGAACUAAUUACUUGAAGUGAAGAAAGAAUAAAUAGAGCUUCUUUGAUGGAGCCAUUAACUCGCUGCUCCCUGCAGCCAGUUGGAAACGUCCCCUUUA